GAAAUAUUGAAUUGAAUCAUUGGGCAUUCAUGAAUCCGUGGUAUUUGGAUGUGUCUGAAACUGCCUGGAUUAAUGCUCAUUAUUAAUGAACUGCAAAGGCAGCCAAGACUCAAAACUUUCCACUGACACGCUCCUGAUUGUGUUAAAAAAAGAAACAAGACGAUGCUCACUGAAAGCAGAAAUGUAGGCUUAAGGACAAAGCUUGACACAAACUGGUGUUUCUUGCUCUGAUAGUAAAGAUGGGAAAAGUGAACUGAAAUUUAAGUUUGGUCAGAAUACACUAUUAUGUAGUGUGACUGAGAGCAACAUGCUAAUUAUCCAAAACCAAGAGUUAAUGUUUGACAGAUCAAAGUAAAACUCAUUAUGAUUUGAUGAGACAUCUAUAGAAUAAGCUAAGCUAAGCUAAGCUAAGCUAAGCUAAGAUAAGAUAAGACUAUUGAUCCCACGACGGGGAAAUUUUUUGCGUUACAGAUAUCAGAAGGAAAUACAAAAAUACAAAAAAGUACAAUCAAUGAAAAAAAAAAGUAAGAUAAUACACUGUAUACAAUGGUAGCAUACACAGUAUGUGAUGAUGGAUAUGGUUGGAAAUAUGCAAGACAUAAACUAUAUAGCUUGACAUAGAAUAGAAUAGCCUUUAUUGUCAUUGUACAGAGUACAACGAAAUUGGAGUGCCACUCCCUUGGUGCAAGUUUCAAUAAUAAAUAUAAAUGUUUUUGUUUGUUUUUUUUUGUUUUUUUUGCCUGUCCCGUUUGGCUCUUUUGCCAUCAGAAUUGUUGUCUAAAGGCAAAGAAAGAUGCCCAACGGAUUUACUUUACCAAAUUGACCAUCCCAGCCUUGCCAUAAUGGUCCAUUUGAUUCACCUUUUAUUGUUUAUUUUAUUUUCACUUACUGAAUAUAGGACAGACUUGACUGGGGGAAAGAAGGGGAGAAAGAAAGAGGGAAAGAGAAACAGCUGAGAAGAGGGACGGGGGAGAAGGGCAAAAACCAAAAACCAACAGAACGGGCAGAAAAAGAAAAAAAGAAGAAAAAAAGAAAAAAAAAUGCAUAUAUCAAUCACCUGGGUCACCUGCUGAGAAAGAAAAAAGAAAACAAGCAGAAGAGAACAAGAGUAAUAGAAUAAACAACAUCACAAUGAUAUAUGGGAAUAUGACAGUAAAUACUAAAUAUUAAACAUUAUUGUGCAGCACAUAAGAUCAACAGAAUAAAUAUAAAUGUAAAAUAUAAAAAGUACAAAAAAAACAAUCGUAAGUACUCAAACAAUAGUACAAUAUAUACAGGAUAGCAGCAUUAAUAUAAUGACAGUAUGAAUAGCAGCAUAAUAUAAUGACAGUGACAGUAUGGAAUAGGUUCAAUUGUUUUUGUGCUUAUUUACUAUGUUGGUAGCUCUGGGAAAGAAGCUAUCCCUGAAUCUGUUUGUCUUGGUUUUAUGUGAUCUGUACCAUCGGCCUGACGGUAAUAGUUCAAACAGUUGGUUGCUGGGGUGAGAGUAGUCCUUGAUGAUAUUGCCAGCUCUGCUGAGGUACCGAGAGUUUGCAGUGACCCCCAGGCUGGGCAGAGAGCAGCCAGUGAUCUUCUGGGCUGUGUUGAUGACCCUCUGCAGUACUUUCCUGUCCGCAGCUGAGCAC
Molecule: long non-coding RNA, 1625 nt
Organism: Astatotilapia calliptera (eastern happy)
Lineage: Eukaryota; Metazoa; Chordata; Actinopteri; Cichliformes; Cichlidae
Source: Ensembl